This 85-nucleotide transfer RNA is filed under the name Felis catus (domestic cat). It matches the Rfam family "tRNA". From Rfam's summary of the family: Transfer RNA (tRNA) molecules are approximately 80 nucleotides in length. Their secondary structure includes four short double-helical elements and three loops (D, anti-codon, and T loops). Lineage: Eukaryota; Metazoa; Chordata; Mammalia; Carnivora; Felidae. The record is from Rfam by way of RNAcentral.
GCCUGGGUGGCUCAGUCAGUUAAGCAUCUGACUUCAGCUCAGGUCAUGAUCUUGGGGUCCGUGGGUUCAAGCCCCAUGUUGGGCU